AUAAAACAAAUGAAUGUGGAUUUGAUAUGAAAUAGGCAGGAGCAUUGCUAUUCUGCAAUCUGAAUUUGGGGCCUCAGUUAUGCUGCUGCUGAGGGACCACAUGGGAAACUUUUUGCUCUUGGAAAACUACAAGAUUUUUUUUUUCUCCCCCUGUUUUGGAUGACUUUGAAGAGAGCAUAAUGUCUCUGCACACAUUUUCAUGAGCUUUGCUUAUCUGGAAGGGCACUUCUCUAGUCCUGGAUAAACACAAUAGUUCUAGGCAAGAAAGGAGGUGGAGAUCUCAUGUGAAAAAUCAUGUAGGAAUUUAUGUUUCUGACUUUUAAAUACAGGUGAUUCUUCCAUAUAUCCUGCAUAUAUAUCUCUCCCUUCUUCCCUUCUUUCCUAGUCUUCAACGAAAAAACCCCAGCUGGAUUUCAUAGUAGUUGUAGGGAAUUCAAAGUUCUGCCUUGUAGAUGUUUUAAUGCAAACUUUCAAUAUGCUUCACAUUUUAUCUUUUAGUCCAAAGUCUGGCACAAGGUAUGGAAAGUGAUUUCAAAAAUGCUUGAGGAAAAUGAAAGGUUCAGAAGUCGACUGAUGACCUGCAGCCGGGUUGAUGGAGAAGGCUCUGACAGGAUCCAGAGGUCACAGAAUGGGGCAUACCUGGACAGGGUAUGUAGACAGUCCAUUAAAGGCCAAAAAACCUUAAAAUAAGCAAAUUAAUAAUAUUAAAAACAUGCACUGAUCUUGUUUCAUUUUAUUAUAAUAUGUGCCAGUUAUAUUCUAAAGUAUUACUGAUAUUGAGCUCAAAUUUUUUCAAGAUUUCAGUGAUUUGGGGACCAGAGCUGCUCCAUCCUCACAGGGAGGGCUCUGUGCUUUGCCAAGGCAAAGGGAGGUGGAUUUUGCCUUCUGCUUGAGCUAAAUCCUUUCCUGAUGGUCUAAAUUAUAAUCUGGAUAAUCUGAACAGUCUUUAUUUGUCCCACUUGAUAUAGAGACUUUUUUCUUUAUGUUGAUAGGAAUGAACUAAUUCAAUUUUAUCACUUUUUUUUCUCUAGGAUGAGUCCAUCUUUGGCUGGGUUUAGCAAGAAAAGAAAGGAAGAUUCAGCCCCAAAGGAAAUAAAAACAGAGUGAAAGCUUUUAUUUUGAUCUAG
RNAcentral lists this long non-coding RNA (1127 nucleotides) under Cyanistes caeruleus (blue tit). Its description in RNAcentral is "lncRNA (ENSCCEG00000012847.1)". The record is from RNAcentral. Lineage: Eukaryota; Metazoa; Chordata; Aves; Passeriformes; Paridae.